Molecule: ribosomal RNA, 396 nt
Filed under: Triticum aestivum (bread wheat)
Lineage: Eukaryota; Viridiplantae; Streptophyta; Magnoliopsida; Poales; Poaceae
Description: partial small subunit ribosomal RNA
Source: RNAcentral
AUGAUUGGGAGAUAUUUCUGGGCACAGCAUGAUAAUGAGAACAAGAUGCAUUGGAUCAGCUGGGAGAAGUUAACACUUUCUAAAGCAGAAGGGGGGCUGGGCUACAAGGACCUGCAUUCUUUCAACCUGGCCAUGCUAGCAAAACAAGGAUGGCGGCUGCUAACUGACCCAAACUCGCUGUGUGCACGCGUUUUGCGGGCCAAAUAUUACCCCGAUGGGGAUUUGUUAGGUGCACAGCCGAAAGAGGGUAUGUCAUAUUCUUGGAGGAGCAUAUUGCAAGGUAUUGAGCUGCUGCGAAAUGGAAUAAUAAAGCGGGUGGGUGAUGGUUCCAGCAUCAAUAUAUGGGCAGAUCCAUGGCUGCCUAGGCAAUGGUCCAGAAGGCCGAUUACACCCUGA